RNAcentral lists this ribosomal RNA (878 nucleotides) under uncultured bacterium. RNAcentral describes it as "bacterial SSU rRNA". It matches the Rfam family "Bacterial small subunit ribosomal RNA", at positions 35 to 909 of the family's 1533-position model. The record is from RNAcentral.
AUUGGGGGGGCUGCUUUCAAUGCAAGUCGAACGGCAGCGCGGGGGCAACCCUGGCGGCGAGUGGCGAACGGGUGAGUAAUGUAUCGGAACGUAUCCUGUAAUGGGGGAUAACCAGUCGAAAGAUUGGGUAAUACCGCAUACGCACGAGAGUGGAAAGUGGAGGAUCGCAAGACUUCACGUUAUAGGAGCGGCCGAUAUCUGAUUAGCUAGUUGGUGGGGUAAAGGCCUACCAAGGCGACGAUCAGUAGCAGGUCUGAGAGGAUGAUCUGCCACACUGGGACUGAGACACGGCCCAGACUCCUACGGGAGGCAGCAGUGGGGAAUUUUGGACAAUGGGCGAAAGCCUGAUCCAGCCAUGCCGCGUGCAGGAAGAAGGCCUUCGGGUUGUAAACUGCUUUAGUCCGGGAAAAAGGGGUGCGGGAUUAAUACUCUCGUGCUUUGAUGGUACUGGAAGAAUAAGCACCGGCUAACUACGUGCCAGCAGCCGCGGUAAUACGUAGGGUGCGAGCGUUGAUCGGAAUUACUGGGCGUAAAGCGUGCGCAGGCGGUCUUGUAAGACAGUCGUGAAAUCCCUGGGCUUAACCUAGGAACUGCGAUUGUGACUGCAAGGCUAGAGUGUGUCAGAGGGGGGUGGAAUUCCACGUGUAGCAGUGAAAUGCGUAGAGAUGUGGAGGAACACCGAUGGCGAAGGCAGCCCCCUGGGAUAACACUGACGCUCAUGCACGAAAGCGUGGGGAGCAAACAGGAUUAGAUACCCUGGUAGUCCACGCCCUAAACGAUGUCGACUGGUUGUUGGGUGGGUAACCACUUAGUAACGAAGCUAACGCGUGAAGUCGACCGCCUGGGGAGUACGGUCGCAAGAUUAAAACUCAAAGGAA